Non-coding RNA from Coemansia sp. RSA 2681, 73 nucleotides. NCBI's taxonomy places the organism in Eukaryota, Fungi, Kickxellomycota, Kickxellomycetes, Kickxellales, Kickxellaceae. The record is from the annotation of a GenBank genome assembly.
GAUCUCGUUGUUUAGAGGUUAUAACAUUCGCCUUACUAGCGAAAGGUCGCCGUUUCGAUCACGGCCGAGAUCA